RNAcentral lists this long non-coding RNA (1363 nucleotides) under Olea europaea subsp. europaea. The record is from RNAcentral. Lineage: Eukaryota; Viridiplantae; Streptophyta; Magnoliopsida; Lamiales; Oleaceae.
GUUGACAACAAUUGGAUGACGUUGAUGUUGGUAAUUGGACUUGAGGAAAAAUGAGACUUAUGGGAUGAGAUUGUAAUGCCGUUAGUAACUUGAAUAAUGAAUUCCUUUAAAUUAUUUUGACCUGAUGGAAGUAUUUUGGGAUUUUGUGUGUGUUAAGGCUAUUAAAUGGAUGAUUGUCUUUAAUAUUAAUUGGUAAUACAGGUGAUUUCUGACGUUGAGUGAAAAAAGAAAGUGAUAUAAUCUCCGUAGGAGCUUGUGCACACACAAGGGCAAAAAGGUAAGUAAAAAUCCAUUUACAACUACGAUGCAAGAAUCUAGCAUUUGUAGUAUAGUGAUGUUAGGAUAUUUUCAUACUUUGAUAAGAAAGCUCGUUGUACCCUAUAUGAUGAUUAUGAUCAUUGAAUAUGCGGUUGCAAAAUACAUUGACAUCAACUUCCAUUGAGCAUGUCAUUCAUGAGCAUUUUCGUUGGCAUGCACAACAUAUGAUCAUGGUUGAAAACUUUGCAUGUGAAACAUGAUUUCAAAGUAAGUUUUCUUUAUAAAUGUUUUAUUGACCACUACUAGGGCACCGAGGCAUGUGAGGCAUGCUUAUGUGAUAUGUUUGGCAUCGCGGGUGAUACUUCCUGGGUGAUUGCAAAGGUAGACAGGGGAUGGCCCUUUGGUGAUCACGGGAGGGCGGACCACUCAAUUAUGCCCUUGUAAUGAUUAUUGGCGCUGCCGGGUAGAAGACUUCUUGGGUGAUCAUAGGGGUAGUUAGGGGAUGGGCCUCUAGCGGUCACGAGAGGAUGGUCCACUCGCCGGUGUCGAUUUUAUAUUGGCCAAUUGAUUAUUGAUAUUGAUAUUAUGCAGAGCUCUAUCAAGUGCAUAGUUGGUGGGUCAAGGGCCCAAUGAAAUGAAAGAUUUCAAAUGAAAUAAUUUCGAGUCGACUUUGAUGAAUAUUGGAAUAUGAUGCAUCUUUAGCAUGAUGUUUAAAGUAAAUGACAUGGUGUCACAUAUCCUUGUUACUCAUACUCAUGAAAUGCAUGAUUCUUGCUUACUAAGCAUUGGCUUAUGUAGUUCUUGCAUUGUAGGUGAGCAUGGAACUAUGUAGAGGGCACGGCUAGCUGUGGAGCUCUUACGGGAUUCCAAAGAUCAAUGUACAUGGAUGACGACCUGUAGGGUUAUUUUGUGGGCUAUUGUUUUGAGCUUACACUCUAUUGUGUCGUAUUUUGGGGGUCCUAUCUUGUAUAACUUUUGAAAUGGCCUAUAGAUGUGUUUAUAAACUUAGAACAUACGUGUUGGAUUAUGGUUAUAUGAUCGCUGAUUUUGAUAUAAUAUAUGAUCAUCACAGGUGAUUUGAAGUUAACAAAUAGGGACAUAAUUG